This 160-nucleotide long non-coding RNA is filed under the name Macaca mulatta (Rhesus monkey). Its description in RNAcentral is "lncRNA (ENSMMUG00000055471.1)". Lineage: Eukaryota; Metazoa; Chordata; Mammalia; Primates; Cercopithecidae. The record is from RNAcentral.
CAGGGUGUGGCAUCUUCUUACUCCUGUUUCCAGAUCUCAGAGAGGUUUUCAGGGGACAGGCCAACCUGGAGGACAGGAUUCCCUGGAGGCCACAGAGGAGCACCAAGGAGAAGAUCUGCCCGUGGGUCUUCAUUGCCCAGCUCCUGUACACUCCUGCCUG